GUACUCGCUUCAGCAGCACAUAUACUAAAAUUGGAAUGAUACAGAGAAGAUUAGAAUGUCCCCUGAGCAAGGAUGACAUGCAAAUUCAUGAAGCAUUCCAUGUUUUU
This is a small nuclear RNA of Nannospalax galili (Upper Galilee mountains blind mole rat), 107 nucleotides long. Lineage: Eukaryota; Metazoa; Chordata; Mammalia; Rodentia; Spalacidae. The record is from Ensembl.